Molecule: ribosomal RNA, 444 nt
Filed under: uncultured bacterium
Lineage: Bacteria
Description: bacterial SSU rRNA
Rfam family: Bacterial small subunit ribosomal RNA
Source: RNAcentral
CCAGACUCCUACGGGAGGCAGCAGUGGGGAAUAUUGCACAAUGGGGGGAACCCUGAUGCAGCGAUGCCGCGUGGAGGAAGAAGGUUUUCGGAUUGUAAACUCCUUUUAUCAGGGACGAUAAUGACGGUACCUGAAGAAAAAGCUCCGGCUAACUACGUGCCAGCAGCCGCGGUAAUACGUAGGGAGCGAGCGUUGUCCGGAAUUACUGGGUGUAAAGGGAGCGUAGGCGGGACGGCAAGUCAGAUGUGAAAACUGAGGGCUCAACUUUCAGACUGCAUUUGAAACUGCUGUUCUUGAGUGAAGUAGAGGUAAGCGGAAUUCCUAGUGUAGCGGUGAAAUGCGUAGAUAUUAGGAGGAACAUCGGUGGCGAAGGCGGCUUACUGGGCUUUUACUGACGCUGAGGCUCGAAAGCGUGGGGAGCAAACAGGAUUAGAUACCCCAGUA